RNAcentral lists this transfer RNA (93 nucleotides) under Blumeria hordei DH14. RNAcentral's name for it is "tRNA-Ser for anticodon GCU". It matches the Rfam family "tRNA". From Rfam's summary of the family: Transfer RNA (tRNA) molecules are approximately 80 nucleotides in length. Their secondary structure includes four short double-helical elements and three loops (D, anti-codon, and T loops). Lineage: Eukaryota; Fungi; Ascomycota; Leotiomycetes; Helotiales; Erysiphaceae. The record is from RNAcentral.
GGCACUUUGGCGGAGUGGUUAACGCGAUGCCCUGCUAUAAUUCAUAGCUAGGCAUUUCCUUCGGGAGCGUGUGUUCGAACCACACAGGUGUCG